This 253-nucleotide ribosomal RNA is filed under the name uncultured bacterium. RNAcentral describes it as "partial 16S ribosomal RNA". It matches the Rfam family "Bacterial small subunit ribosomal RNA", at positions 524 to 776 of the family's 1533-position model. The record is from RNAcentral.
UACGAAGGGGGCUAGCGUUGCUCGGAAUCACUGGGCGUAAAGCGCACGUAGGCGGAUUGUUAAGUCAGGGGUGAAAUCCUGGAGCUCAACUCCAGAACUGCCUUUGAUACUGGCGAUCUUGAGUCCGGGAGAGGUGAGUGGAACUGCGAGUGUAGAGGUGAAAUUCGUAGAUAUUCGCAAGAACACCAGUGGCGAAGGCGGCCCACUGGCCCGGUACUGACGCUGAGGUGCGAAAGCGUGGGGAGCAAACAGG